GUGAUUCAGAGAUUUAUGGCUGAUAACAGUGUUACAAUGUCACUAUUGAUAAAUUUAAAAAAUAUAUAUUUUGAAAUAGCAAUGUUCUCCUUGUUUUUAUAGCCCUAUAAUUUGCAAAAGAAAAGCUAAGAACAUGUUAACAUUGUGUAUUUCUAAAUUCAGGACAAAAUUUAGAAACUAUUUAGUAUGGAUGUUUUUCGGCGGUUGUAGAUGCGUAACAGAUUUUAGUGGUCAAAGUUAGAAAAAGUGUUUUGUUUUUUAAAAAAUUUUCAUCAUAUUUUAUAAAAAAAUUUUAUAGUAAAUUAUAUGAUAUGAUGAAAAUAAUGGUACCUUUAGAAAGACCAUU
This is a non-coding RNA of Pelobates cultripes (western spadefoot toad), 346 nucleotides long. The record is from the annotation of a GenBank genome assembly. NCBI's taxonomy places the organism in Eukaryota, Metazoa, Chordata, Amphibia, Anura, Pelobatidae.